UUUGAAAAAACAGUAAAAGUUUCUACAUACUUUUUGGUUAAAAUUGUUUUGGGAAUUGCUCUUUCAUUUUCAUUGUUAGAAGAACUUAAAGAUUUCAAGGAUUUUCCAGUUCAUCUGUGCUUAAAGAUGGUUUAGAAGGCGCUGAAAUUUGCUCUUGAUGUGGUGAUUUGUCUACAUUUCUGAUUUGCUGAAAUCCCCACCCCCUUUUGCUUUGUUUUGAUAUCCAGAUACUCCUUGGACCAUGAAUAAUAUACGACGUACAAGUUUGAAAUAUG
RNAcentral lists this long non-coding RNA (275 nucleotides) under Nicotiana benthamiana. RNAcentral describes it as "long non-coding RNA (NBEN_LNC017671)". Lineage: Eukaryota; Viridiplantae; Streptophyta; Magnoliopsida; Solanales; Solanaceae. The record is from RNAcentral.